GUAGAUGAGAAAAUCAAGUGAUCAUUACCAUAAACCCUUGCAUUAACAGUGUCCAAUAAUUGAGCUCCUUCAAAACCUAUGUCAAGAGCUCCUUAAUUGAUUUCCGGUUCAGUUUCCUUAGCAUAUCAUAUAUGGUUCCCACUGGGAUGUCUAUACAUCCCUUAAGCUGUGUUCAAUAUUCCAGAAUACCUCCUUAUUAAAUGUAAUUUUCAGUUACAUUUGGUAAGAGCACAGGUGAAAAUAUUAUUUUGCACUUCAAUUUGAUAACACAAAUACCAAACCCAAAUUAUAAAACUGCCUCACUAAAACAAAGUAGACUUUUUAAUUAUUAUUUUUUUAUUUUUUAUCAUUAUGUACUCAUAUAUCAUCAUAAAUAAAAGCCAUAUUAAUGUAUCAUGUCCUUGAGAACAGAUUUUACUGAAGGAUCUUAUGAAUUCAAUGAGGCAGCAAUACUCCUUAAUUAGCAUGCUGGCAGGAAUGAUUUAUUUGCGCAGCAUUUGCAACCAGUGCCUUGAGUAGCUUAAUAAUGAAAUUGGCUUAAACCACACCAUACAGAAAAAUCAUGAUAACUGAAGGAAACACAAGUGGAUAUUAAAAUUACUCACCCAAUAAUCCAGGCACCACCAGUUACAAAUGCAACAACUGGC
RNAcentral lists this unclassified non-coding RNA (647 nucleotides) under Hevea brasiliensis (rubber tree). The record is from RNAcentral. Lineage: Eukaryota; Viridiplantae; Streptophyta; Magnoliopsida; Malpighiales; Euphorbiaceae.